This 527-nucleotide ribosomal RNA is filed under the name uncultured bacterium. RNAcentral's name for it is "bacterial SSU rRNA". It matches the Rfam family "Bacterial small subunit ribosomal RNA", at positions 777 to 1301 of the family's 1533-position model. The record is from RNAcentral.
AAUAGAUACCCUGGUAGUCCACGCCGUAAACGAUGAGUGCUAAGUGUUAGAGGGUUUCCGCCCUUUAGUGCUGCAGCUAACGCAUUAAGCACUCCGCCUGGGGAGUACGGUCGCAAGACUGAAACUCAAAGGAAUUGACGGGGGGCCCGCACAAGCGGUGGAGCAUGUGGUUUAAUUCGAAGCAACGCGAAGAACCUUACCAGGUCUUGACAUCCCACUGACCGGUAUAGAGAUAUACCUUUCCCUUCGGGGACAGUGGUGACAGGUGGUGCAUGGUUGUCGUCAGCUCGUGUCGUGAGAUGUUGGGUUAAGUCCCGCAACGAGCGCAACCCUUGAUCUUAGUUGCCAGCAUUUAGUUGGGCACUCUAAGGUGACUGCCGGUGACAAACCGGAGGAAGGUGGGGAUGACGUCAAAUCAUCAUGCCCCUUAUGACCUGGGCUACACACGUGCUACAAUGGAUGGUACAAAGGGCUGCAAGACUGCGAAGUCAAGCCAAUCCCAUAAAACCAUUCUCAGUUCGGAUUGC